GACGAACGCUGGCGGCGUGCUUAACACAUGCAAGUCGAACGGAAAGGCCCUGCUUUUGUGGGGUGCUCGAGUGGCGAACGGGUGAGUAACACGUGAGUAACCUGCCCUUGACUUUGGGAUAACUUCAGGAAACUGGGGCUAAUACCGGAUAGGAGAUCCUGCUGCAUGGUGGGGGUUGGAAAGUUUCGGCGGUUGGGGAUGGACUGGCGGCUUAUCAGCUUGUUGGUGGGGUAGUGGCUUACCAAGGGUUUGACGGGUAGCCGGCCUGGGAGGGUGACCGGCCACCUUGGGACUGCGGUACGGACCAGACUGCAACGGGGGGCAGUAGGCGGGAACAUUGCCCAACGGGCGCAAGCCGGAGGCAGCAACGCCGCGUGUGUGAUGACGGCCUGCGGGUUGAAAACCGCUUUCGCCUGUGACGAAGCGGGAGUGACGGUAAUGGGUAAAGAAGCACCGGCUAACUACGUG
Molecule: ribosomal RNA, 468 nt
Filed under: uncultured bacterium
Lineage: Bacteria
Description: partial 16S ribosomal RNA
Rfam family: Bacterial small subunit ribosomal RNA
Source: RNAcentral